AUACGAAGGGGGCUAGCGUUGUUCGGAAUUACUGGGCGUAAAGCGCACGUAGGCGGAUCGUUUAGUCGGGGGUGAAAUCCCGGGGCUUAACCCCGGAACUGCCUCCGAUACUGGCGAUCUUGAGUCCGAGAGAGGUGAGUGGAACUCCGAGUGUAGAGGUGAAAUUCGUAGAUAUUCGGAAGAACACCAGUGGCGAAGGCGGCUCACUGGCUCGGUACUGACGCUGAGGUGCGAAAGCGUGGGGAGCAAACAGGAUUAGAUACCCCGGUAGUCC
Molecule: ribosomal RNA, 274 nt
Filed under: uncultured bacterium
Lineage: Bacteria
Description: partial 16S ribosomal RNA
Rfam family: Bacterial small subunit ribosomal RNA
Source: RNAcentral